AACGCAGCGAAGGGGCGAUAAGUAAUGUGAAUUGCAGUAUUUUCAGUGAAUCAUCGAAUCUUUGAACGCACCUUGCGCUCCUUGGUAUUCCGAGGAGCAUGCCUGUUUGAGUGUCAUUAAAUUCUCAACUCCAAGGGUUUCACGACCUUUCGGAGAUUGGACUUGGAGGUGCUGGCCGCAUAUCGGUCGGCUCCUCUUAAAUGCAUCAGCGGAAUCUAACGUUUCGGACGUCAGUGUGAUAAUCAUGUUGCGCUGUCUGUCUGAUCCGAAAGCCCCGCUCACAAUGGUCUUCGGACAACUUCAUAUCAAAUUUGACCUCAAAUCAGGUAGGACUACCCGCUGAACUUAA
RNAcentral lists this ribosomal RNA (349 nucleotides) under uncultured fungus. RNAcentral describes it as "eukaryotic LSU rRNA". The stretch from base 1 to 116 matches the Rfam family "5.8S ribosomal RNA", at positions 42 to 154 of the family's 154-position model. Lineage: Eukaryota; Fungi. The record is from RNAcentral.